CAUCCUCAAACCUUCUUGGUUUCUUGACCAGGAAGGCUUUGGACUCUGGAGGUUUUUGCUGGCCUUACUUUGUUGAAGCCAGCUCCUCUAAAAUGGAUUAGUGGGAUCUGCUUUGCGGAUACUUGACGGUGAUAAGAUAUUUCUACGUCUUGGAUCUCGCACUGUUCGCUCUGGAUCCUGCUUCUAACCGUCUCAUAGAAGACAAUGGGUUAAGUGAUCGCCACUUGGCCUACAAA
Molecule: unclassified non-coding RNA, 236 nt
Filed under: uncultured Russula
Lineage: Eukaryota; Fungi; Basidiomycota; Agaricomycetes; Russulales; Russulaceae
Description: sequence contains ITS2
Source: RNAcentral